UUACAGCCAUAUCAACAUUUAUACACCGGUUCUCGUACGAUCACCGAAGUUAAGCAUCGUCCAGUCUAGCCAAUACCACGAGGGGUGACCGCUUGGGAAAACCAGGUGCUGUAA
Non-coding RNA from Acanthosepion pharaonis, 114 nucleotides. Lineage: Eukaryota; Metazoa; Mollusca; Cephalopoda; Sepiida; Sepiidae. The record is from the annotation of a GenBank genome assembly.